CAGAAGAAUAACAUAUUUGAUGCCUCACCACUUCAUGCUAGCCUCUUGAAUUCUUAAUAGUGUCCCUUGCAACACCUCUCUCUCUGACACGAAAUGGCGGGCUUUGAUGCACUAGUGCAAUCCAUCAACGGUUGCUAGUAUUUCCAUAAGGGAGGUGGAGGGGGUAAGGGAAAGACUGAACGUCAUUUAUUCGUAUAUCCAAUUAUGAUUUAUCUUUGCCAUUUAUCUAACUCCGCUCCACCUCCAAGAAUUCUCACAACCUACACCCCCUUCACGUGUCGACCUCCGGGCACGAAACUGCAGCCCUCACCUUUCUUGGAGAUAGCAAGUCCUGAAAGUUGAAGUUUGUUUUCGUCUUUCAUUUUUCACGGAUGAUUCUUCGUGUUCAUUCUUUCAGCGAGGUCUUGAAAAAUGGUAUACUUGUUGUGCAUUUGAAGGACAAAAAGAGCAGGAGAAAAAACUUUCAUCUUCCACGAUCGACCUGUAUUUGUACUGUACAGCUGGUGGCCAUAAAAGUAGCGACACUUGACGCAAGCAAUAUAA
This 543-nucleotide small RNA is filed under the name Histoplasma ohiense. RNAcentral describes it as "hypothetical lncRNA". Lineage: Eukaryota; Fungi; Ascomycota; Eurotiomycetes; Onygenales; Ajellomycetaceae. The record is from RNAcentral.